This 241-nucleotide long non-coding RNA is filed under the name Lathyrus oleraceus (garden pea). Its description in RNAcentral is "Pisum sativum (pea) long non-coding RNA (PSAT_LNC029674)". The record is from RNAcentral. Lineage: Eukaryota; Viridiplantae; Streptophyta; Magnoliopsida; Fabales; Fabaceae.
GAAGAGUCUCAAGCUGAGAGAGUCUUCAGCGACUUAGAAGAAGCCAAUGCCUCUGACCUCUUCAACAUCUUCACGUAAGUCACCUAUCUUAGAAUCUCCUCUUACUUAUGGUUCUAGGCAACUUGCCUCAUCACUCCCUCUUCCAACCCCACACUAUCAACCACUGUUACAACAUUAUCUACCUCACCUUCCAUACACACUACAGCUCCUAGAUCAAAAUCCAAAUCUCAACAACCAACAA